CUACGGGCGGCUCCAGUCGAGAAUCAUUCGCAAUGGGCGAAAGCCUGACGAUGCGACGCCGCGUGAAUGAAGAAGGCCCUCGGGUUGUAAAGUUCUUUCGCCUGGGAACAAGAGGAGGAGGCAAACAGUCUCUGAAUUUGAGUGUACCAGGUAAAGAAGCACCGGCUAACUCCGUGCCAGCAGCUGCGGUAAUACGGAGGGUGCAAGCAUUAAUCGGAAUCAUUGGGCGUAAAGGGCGAGUAGGCGUUUUGACAAGUCAGGUGUUAAAGACCAUGGCUCAACCAUGGGAGAGCAUUUGAAACUGUUGAAAUGGAGGGCAGUCGGAGGAAAUGGAAUUCCGCAAGUAGCGGUGAAAUGCGUAGGUAUGCGGAAGAACACCGGUGGCGAAGGCGGUUUUCUAGGCUGCAGCUGACGCUGAGGCGCGAAAGCAAGGGGAGCAAACAGGAUUAGAUACCCCGGUAGUC
This 464-nucleotide ribosomal RNA is filed under the name uncultured bacterium. RNAcentral's name for it is "partial 16S ribosomal RNA". It matches the Rfam family "Bacterial small subunit ribosomal RNA", at positions 339 to 795 of the family's 1533-position model. The record is from RNAcentral.